UGUCACUCCAUUCUCCUCCCCUCCGGCUCCCUCGGAUGCUUUAAUGCCUCGGAUGCUUCAGCCUCCCCUCCGUCCCUCCCGGGGGUGUGGUACUCGCAGGCUCGGGCCGCCGCACUACGCAGGCGCAGGCUCGGACGCGCCUCCCGCCUCGGCGCAAGUGGCUCGAGGCCUAUUGGGAGUCGUAGUCCUCGGUGCGCCAGGGCGGGGCGAGCUGAGGCAGCAGGCAGAGUCUGGCCGGCCCUCGACUGAGGGCGCCGGAGACACGCCCUGCACGGCGCCGAGAGCGGAGGUGGCCGCCGCCCGGCCGGCAGGCUAGUCAAAAGCACCCCAGGCCCGCGGGAGCCUCCGGUCCCGGGGUGCGGGCCCGCUCGCCUCCUUCCCGCCCUGUCCAGAGCCGGGAACACGGAGUCCUCAGGCCACGGCGGCGGUAGGCGAAGCGCCCCGGCCAAGCGGGAACAGGGCGGGAGCCGUGGGGGUCCGGGUCGCUCAGGCGGGAGUACAGUCAGCCCGCUGCCCACCUGGGGCCCUGUGGGUCCACGAGUGAGCCGCUGGGCGCCGGAGCCGGCAUUCGCCCGCCCGCCCGGCCGCUGCCUGCUGUCUCGCACGCACACGUGCCAAGUCGCUCACAGAGCUGCACUUUGUUUGCUUGGAAGGCGGGAAGGGCUCCGCGACUCGGCGGCGACUCGGCGCCUGCCUCGGUGUUGGCGCAGCCCGAGCGCCCCCAGCCGGCUGCGGGUCCACGCGGAUCGCGCCUCGGCAGGGAUCUGAGCGUGGGAAGCGGCACGCUGUGCUAGUAAAACGUCUUGCAGCACGCCCGCCCCGCCAGCCAACAAUCUUCAUUACAGCUGGACUCGCUCAGAUAGCCUGAGUAAUAGCAAGUCUGCAGUGUGGAGUGUUCAUGAGGAACAGGCAGACCAGCGCCAACUCUGCAUGGAAGUGUGUUCAAAUUCUGGCUUUUUUAUGUUGGGACUCCUAGAUCCUUCCUCUGUUAAUGCUCUGAACAUCAGACUCCAGAUCUAGGCCCAGUCCCGCUCCUUUGCUUUCUCCGAAAACCCUCGUGCCAGGAAAUGGACGUUCUCUCGUCACCUGGGGUCUGCACUCUUGUCCUUUGGGCUGGGGACUGGGCCGCUUGGCCCCAGGGAACAAUGAACCCUUUGCCUUCUCUGCUUCUGAGUCUUGCGGGCCGGAUAUCCGUUCUGAAGCCAACCCUGGGCCGUCUCUGUCCAAAAGGAGGAAACUUUCUGUCUCCAGGGCUGCCAGGAAGUAGCAGGGAGGUGCUGAGAGAAACAGAGAACAAUUAUUCAUUGGAGAAUAUAAAAAAAUUAAUAGCCUUUCUAGGCCUUCGAAGCUGGAUUCUAACAGCCCAGGAUUGUCUUCUUUCCUGGUGGAUAUAUCCGACGCCACCAGUUCCUGUUGUCUAGAUUUGGGUCAGUGGGUCUCCCUGGGCCUCACUUAACCUGUCUGCAAAGUUUGCGUGUCAGAAGGCAGGGAGCUGAGCUUGGGCCCCUUUCAUUCCCGGAAGUAUUGUUCGAAGCCACCCAGGCUUGCUCUUUGCUACAGAGCACAUGCCCAGAGCCAUAACUUGUGAUGAAAUGAUGGAUCUCGAAAAGAGAGCCACUUAAAGCUGGCAGCAUCGUAGAGCCCACCAACUACAGUGGGCCACUUGCCCACAGCCUAGGGCCGGAUCCGACCAAAGUUUAUUUGGGUGACAUUAAAAAAUAAAUAAAUUUGAAUAUUUUUAAGUGGCUUGUGCUCCAUAACAACCUGGUUAGGUUUCUUGUGCUUACAAAUGCUGGGGCUCUUAUAACAAAGCAGAUGCUGGUUAAAAUGCAGACCUAUGUCUGGGGCAAGUCCUGAAAUUCUGUUAUUUCCAACAAACUCUAAGGUUCUGCCAAUCCUGCUGGUCAGUAGCCUACACUGAGUGUCAAGGCUCUGCAGUUAACCUUAAUCCUCACCACUCUACUGAAGUCAACAGUGAUUUUACCUAUCUGGCCUUAUGGACAUUUGAAUUUGCAACCUUGGAAACCUCUGCCUGUCUCCCUCAUUUUAUUGAUGUGAAACAGACCCAGAGAGAAUAAGUGAAUCCUGCUGGCCACUCAGCAAAUAGAUGUUAGCCUAUCCAAUUUUCUAUUCACUACAGUUUGUAGAUCCUCAGGAAGCAGUUGCAAAGAGACCUUUCUUUCUCUUAUUCCCUUCUUCGAAGUUUAUGAAGGCAAUUUCCCUGGGAGCUCACGACUAGGAAGGAACACAGACUGGCAGACAGACUCCCUCCAUGGUGGAAGAAAGGCCAUCAUAGAGACAUACACAAAGGACUUUGC
Long non-coding RNA from Heterocephalus glaber (naked mole-rat), 2318 nucleotides. Lineage: Eukaryota; Metazoa; Chordata; Mammalia; Rodentia; Bathyergidae. The record is from Ensembl.